CCCAACCCAUGUGAACUUAUCUCUUGUUGCCUCGGCGCAAGCGACCCGGGCCCAGCCCGGGGCGCCCGCCGGCGGACACACCAAACUCUGUUAUCUUCGUUGAUUAUCUGAGUGUCUUAUUUAAUAAGUCAAAACUUUCAACAACGGAUCUCUUGGUUCUGGCAUCGAUGAAGAACGCAGCGAAAUGCGAUAAGUAAUGUGAAUUGCAGAAUUCAGUGAAUCAUCGAAUCUUUGAACGCACAUUGCGCCCAUUAGUAUUCUAGUGGGCAUGCCUGUUCGAGCGUCAUUUCAACCUCUAAGCACAGCUUACUGUUGGGAAUCUACGUCUGUAGUUCCUCAAAGACAUUGGCGGAGCGGCAGUAGUCCUCUGAGCGUAGUAAUUUUUUAUCUCGCUUCUGUUAGGCGCUGUCGUCCCGGCCGUUAAACCCCCAAUUUUUUCUGGUUGACCUCGGAUCAGGUA
RNAcentral lists this ribosomal RNA (460 nucleotides) under Nigrospora sphaerica. RNAcentral describes it as "eukaryotic LSU rRNA". The stretch from base 133 to 286 matches the Rfam family "5.8S ribosomal RNA". The record is from RNAcentral. Lineage: Eukaryota; Fungi; Ascomycota; Sordariomycetes; Amphisphaeriales; Apiosporaceae.